RNAcentral lists this long non-coding RNA (210 nucleotides) under Elaeis guineensis (African oil palm). RNAcentral describes it as "long non-coding RNA (EGUI_LNC044598)". Lineage: Eukaryota; Viridiplantae; Streptophyta; Magnoliopsida; Arecales; Arecaceae. The record is from RNAcentral.
ACGCACCUCCCUUCCAACAACAUCGAACUCAUUGGAUCUCGUAUCCGCCCCGCCUCGAUCGGUAUCAAAGCUUCCCGAGCGAUCCUGGCAUGUCAAGCCAUCAAGCUCAAAAGGCUCAAGCCUGGGCCACGUGGGGACACCAAAGCACAGGCUAAGGUCCCAUCAAGUAUUAAAGCCCCAUCAACAGAUCGAAGCUAUUUAUUAUAACAC